This is a long non-coding RNA of Peromyscus californicus insignis, 1568 nucleotides long. RefSeq lists it as uncharacterized. The transcript is spliced from 4 exons. The record is from RefSeq and is a predicted model, not a curated record. NCBI's taxonomy places the organism in Eukaryota, Metazoa, Chordata, Mammalia, Rodentia, Cricetidae.
GGGCUGGAGAGAUAGCUAGCUCAUUGUUAAGAGAAUUUGCUACUUUUUUUUGGGGGGGGGGGUGGUUUGAGACAGGGUUUCUCUGUGUAGCUUUGCGCCUUUCCUGGGACUCACUUGGUAGCCCAGGCUGGCCUCGAACUCACAGAGAUCCACCUGCUUCUUCCUCCCGAGUGCUGGGAUUAAAGGCGUGCAUCACCACCACCGAACAAGAAUUUGCUACUCUUGAAGAGGACUGGGGUUCAAUUUCUAGCACCCACAUGGUGACUCACAACCACGUGUAGCUCCACUUCCAGAGAACCUAAUGAUUCUUCAGGCUCUUCAGGAACCAGGCAAACCAAGCUACACUUUCCUAGCUUUGUUAUUCAGUGAUGGCUAACUCCGUGCCCCACAAAUUCUGGAGGAUGCACACUAACUUUCAAGAGUUCAUCUGUAAUCCCCUUCAAUGGGCUUGAGAAUUGCUGAGGAGGCAAGAAGAAAGAAAGGAUUUGAAAACAAAACCACCAUUUCAUGAAGAAGCGGGUGUGCUGUGGCCUGGCAAAGGAGUGAGAGCAGGCGGCCUUUCACUUUCUAUCUGCUGAUUAUUGAGCUGCAUUAGCAAAUGGCUUGUCUAUAUAAAUAGCAUCCCAUGUACAUGGAACAAACCAUACUACAACACAGAGAUGCUUUGUGAGUACUCAGAAUGACUUACAGGCUGCAAUCUAGCUAAUCCAACAAUGGCUGGCUGUGAAUAGGAAGUCAGUAGUUGCUCGGUCCACCAGGCUGAAUGUCUCAGCUGGUCUUCAGUGUACACUACAAUCCCAAAGAAGGAGGCUCUAACGCCGAUGAAGGAAUGGACUUGCUGACAAGGCAAGGGUGAGCAGGCAAGGAGAAAGGCUUCCUUCUUCCAUGUCCUUUAUACAGGCUUCCAGUGGAAGGUGUGGCCCAGAUUAAAGGCUUGUGUCUUCCCACCUCAAGGAUCUGGAUUGAAGGCCUGUCUUCCUACCUCAAACAUCUGGGCUAGAAGUGGUUCUUCCUACUUCACAUUAAACAAAAAUUCCUCACAGGUGUGCCCUCUGGUUUUUGUAUUUUAGUUAAUUCCAGAUAUAGUCAAGUUGACAACCAAGAAUAACCAUCGUAUUUGUUCUAACUGUAUAGAAAUUUAUUGAAUUGUGUAGACUUUGGGUCUGGUUAAUUUUGUGGUGUGAUGUUUUUAUUUAUUUGCAAGUUUUUUUUAAAUAAUAAAGUUUAUAAAGUUUAAAACACAGUUAAUAUAGUAGUACUUGUCAAAAGAUGGCAUCAUAACAGAUGGUGUGGUAUUUUGUAAAUAAUAAAUGUUUAUUGAGUGAACAAAUGAUUGUGUGAAUGAAAUACAUUUGUAUUCUCCAGAAGAUUUUAUGACAUCACAUACUUAAUUCAAGAAAUUUCUGACUUAUGUAUGCUGUUUUAUAUGUAACAUCAUGUAACUUACAUUGUUAUAACUUACAAAUUAUUUUAUAAACAAAUAUAUAAUAGUGCAUUAUUUUAUUUUAUUGUUUUUUAUGAUUUUAUUAGUUUAUAUAAUAUAGAAUAAGCAUGAUAAUAAUGCUAAA